This 734-nucleotide ribosomal RNA is filed under the name uncultured Thermaceae bacterium. RNAcentral describes it as "bacterial SSU rRNA". It matches the Rfam family "Bacterial small subunit ribosomal RNA", at positions 578 to 1316 of the family's 1533-position model. Lineage: Bacteria; Thermotogati; Deinococcota; Deinococci; Thermales; Thermaceae. The record is from RNAcentral.
GUCUUUCAAGUCCGAUGCUAAAGACUGGGGCUCAACCCCAGGGGUGCGUUGGAUACUGUGAGGCUAGACGGUCGGAGGGGGUAGCGGAAUUUCCGGAGUAGCGGUGAAAUGCGCAGAUACCGGAAGGAACGCCAAUAGCGAAGGCAGCUACCUGGACGACUUGUGACGCUGAGGCGCGAAAGCGUGGGGAGCAAACCGGAUUAGAUACCCGGGUAGUCCACGCCGUAAACCAUGAGUGCUGGGUGUUCGGCUUCUGUUGGGUGCCGUAGCUAACGCGCUAAGCACUCCGCCUGGGAAGUACGCACGCAAGUGUGAAACUCAAAGGAAUUGACGGGGGCCCGCACAAGCGGUGGAGCAUGUGGUUUAAUUCGAAGCGACGCGAAGAACCUUACCAGGCCUUGACAUGCCCGGAACCCCUCUGAAAGGAGGGGGUGCCCGCAAGGGAGCCGGGACACAGGUGCUGCAUGGCCGUCGUCAGCUCGUGUCGUGAGAUGUUGGGUUAAGUCCCGCAACGAGCGCAACCCCUAUCCCUAGUUGCCAGCAGUUCGGCUGGGCACUCUAUGGAGACUGCCUGCGAAAGCAGGAGGAAGGCGGGGAUGACGUCUGGUCCGCAUGGCCCUUACGGCCUGGGCGACACACGUGCUACAAUGCCAAGGACAGAGCGCUGCUACCUCGCGAGAGGACGCCAAUCGCAAAAACCUUGGCUCAGUUCGGAUUGGAGUCUGCAACUCGAC